RNAcentral lists this ribosomal RNA (468 nucleotides) under uncultured bacterium. RNAcentral's name for it is "partial 16S ribosomal RNA". It matches the Rfam family "Bacterial small subunit ribosomal RNA", at positions 28 to 507 of the family's 1533-position model. The record is from RNAcentral.
GACGAACGCUGGCGGCGUGCUUAACACAUGCAAGUCGAACGGAAAGACCCUGCUUUUGUGGUUUUCUCGAUUGGCGAACGCGUGCGUAACACGUGAGUAACGUGCCCUUGACUUUCGGAUAACUUCAGGAAACUGGGGCUAAUACCUGAUCGCAGCUCAUGCAGCAUUGUGGGGGUUGGAAAGUUUCGGCUGGUGGGGUUGGAUUGGCGGCUUAUCAGCUAGUUGGUGGGGUAGUGACUUACCAAGGCUUUGACGGGUAGCCGGCCUGAGAGGGUGACCGGCGACCCAGGGACUGAGAUAAGGCAGAGAGUCGUAAUGGAGGAAGCAGUGGGGAAUCCUGAACCAUGGGCGGAAGGCUGAUGCAGAAACGCCGCGGGUGGGAUAACGGCUUUGGUGGUAUAAAAAGCCUUCGGCUGUGACGCAGCGUGAGCGACGGUAAUGGGUAAAGAAGCAACGGCUAACUACGUG